AUGAACGCUGGCGGCGUGCCUAAUACAUGCAAGUCGAGCGAACGGACGAGAAGCUUGCUUCUCUGAUGUUAGCGGCGGACGGGUGAGUAACACGUGGAUAACCUACCUAUAAGACUGGGAUAACUUCGGGAAACCGGAGCUAAUACCGGAUAAUAUUUUGAACCGCAUGGUUCAAAAGUGAAAGACGGUCUUGCUGUCACUUAUAGAUGGAUCCGCGCUGCAUUAGCUAGUUGGUAAGGUAACGGCUUACCAAGGCAACGAUGCAUAGCCGACCUGAGAGGGUGAUCGGCCACCCUGGAACUGAGACACGGUCCAGACUCCUACGGGAGGCAGCAGUAGGGAAUCUUCCGCAAUGGGCGAAAGCCUUACGGAGCAACGCCGCGUGAGUGAUGAAGGUCUUCGGAUCGUAAAACUCUGUUAUUAGGGAAGAACAUAUGUGUAAGUAACUGUGCACAUCUUGACGGUACCUAAUCAGAAAGCCACGGCUAACUACGUG
RNAcentral lists this ribosomal RNA (496 nucleotides) under uncultured bacterium. RNAcentral's name for it is "partial 16S ribosomal RNA". It matches the Rfam family "Bacterial small subunit ribosomal RNA", at positions 29 to 507 of the family's 1533-position model. The record is from RNAcentral.